This 308-nucleotide ribosomal RNA is filed under the name uncultured soil bacterium. RNAcentral describes it as "bacterial SSU rRNA". It matches the Rfam family "Bacterial small subunit ribosomal RNA", at positions 26 to 333 of the family's 1533-position model. The record is from RNAcentral.
AGAUUGAACGCUGGCGGCAUGCUUUACACAUGCAAGUCGAACGGCAACAGGCCGCAAGGUGCUGACGAGUGGCGAACGGGUGAGUAAUGCAUCGGAACGUGCCCAGUCGUGGGGGAUAACGCAGCGAAGCUGUGCUAAUACCGCAUACGAUCUAUGGAUAGAAAGGCGGGGGACCGAAGGCCUCGCGCGAUUGGAGCGGCCGAUGUCAGAUUAGCUAGGUUGGGUAGGGGUAAACGGCCCAACCGAAGGCGACGAUCUGAGCGUGGUCUGAGAGGACGACCAGCCACACGUGGAACCGGCACGGUCCA